This 484-nucleotide ribosomal RNA is filed under the name uncultured bacterium. RNAcentral's name for it is "partial 16S ribosomal RNA". It matches the Rfam family "Bacterial small subunit ribosomal RNA", at positions 30 to 507 of the family's 1533-position model. The record is from RNAcentral.
AUUGAACGCUGGCGGCAGGCCUAACACAUGCAAGUCGAGCGGAUGAAGGGAGCUUGCUCCUGGAUUCAGCGGCGGACGGGUGAGUAAUGCCUAGGAAUCUGCCUGGUAGUGGGGGAUAACGUCCGGAAACGGGCGCUAAUACCGCAUACGUCCUGAGGGAGAAAGUGGGGGAUCUUCGGACCUCACGCUAUCAUAUGAGCCUAGGUCGUAUUAGCUAGUUGGUGGGGUAAAGGCCUACCAAGGCGACGAUCCGUAACUGGUCUGAGAGGAUGAUCAGUCACACUGGAACUGAGACACGGUCCAGACUCCUACGGGAGGCAGCAGUGGGGAAUAUUGGACAAUGGGCGAAAGCCUGAUCCAGCCAUGCCGCGUGUGUGAAGAAGGUCUUCGGAUUGUAAAGCACUUUAAGUUGGGAGGAAGGACAGUAAGUUAAUACCUUGCUGUUUUGACGUUACCAACAGAAUAAGCACCGGCUAACUUCGUG